AAAUAGGUAAUUAAAUAAAAAUAGGAUGAUAUCAUCCCUUUUUCAUCUUCUCUCCACCGAUUUUUCCAGCCAAGAAAUGGGUUUUGAAAGUUCAUAUUUUCAGCAACUUUGAGGCUUAGCAAGUAAGUGAUUUUAAUGUCUUUCUUGAAGAUUUUUACAUUUUUGUAACCCCUAAAGCAUGAGCUUUCAUAAGAGGGGACUAUUGUGCAAAAUGAUGAAGAGUCUAGGGUUUUUCCAUGAGAGUAAAUGUGUUGCUUGUUGUGUUUUUAUGGAAGAUUAUGAGUUCUAGUUGUCUAAUAAACAGCUUUUGUGAAAGAAAUUGCAUAAAAACACCUUAAAAAGGGCUAGAUUGCUAAGUUAUAAAAUGAGUUGUAAAUGUGUGAAAUAUUUGAAAUUAUGAGUUGCUAUAGUUAUGAAAAUGGUUCAUCUAGACUCAAGGAGUAAAGAAAUUGAUAAAAAUUAUUUUACGAGCCUAGGGGUAAUUUGUUAAUUUUGGUAAAAUAUAGGGGCAAAAUUGUAAAAAUAGCCCAAGUGUGUCAAUGGACUAAUUUGAUCAGUACAUUGUUUUAAUAAGUUGAAUGUGAUGUUUUAGAUGAUGAAUAUCGAGAUUUGGACCUAGAACGGAAAGAAAUCGAUUAAGGGAUAAUUACGUCUUUUUUUUACCUUUGUGGUAUUGAGGUAAGUUCGUAUGUAAACAAUACCAUGUUAUACAUGUAUUUAAAUGUUAUCAUUACAUGAAUUGUACAAAUACUAAUGUGUAUGUGAUUAAUAGAAAUAUGAUAAGACAAAGCCUUAAUAGACGAGGAAAAAUCCCGUUUGAACAUUUGGAAUAGAAUAGGAUACGAGUGACAUGUCACUAGGAAUUAUGAGUCUAGAUGACUAGCUCGAGAGUGAGCAUUGAAAUGUCAUGAGAUAUGAGGUAGCUUUAGCUACAAUUGAGGAACUUAUGUGCAAAGGCUUUUUCGAGUAUCCAAUUAGCAUUCCAAGUGUUCAACGGGUAAUCCAAGGAAAGAGUUGAUGAUGGUCCCAAUGAGGUAAGUCAUUGGUGAGUAUGCACUUGAGUUAUGUUACGAGUUGUGCAAGUAUGUAUACUAAGCCUAUGAGAAUGCCUUGAUAUGUGAUGAUCUAUGAUGCAUAAUAUGUGUUCUUACCAUGAUGGAUGAAAUGAUGUUGUAUUAAUUUUGUGAACAAUGAUCAUGAAUGAGUAACUUAGCCUUGACAGAUUUGAGUUACGGCAGUAGUGUAACUUUGAAAAUACACUAAAAAUAGUGGAAAAUGAGUUAGAGGCAGAAUAAAAUAUGGGAUUAAAUCUUAAUGAGUCUAUUUUCACAUGAAAGAAACAGGGGAAGAAAAAGAAUUCUAUAUUGUGUGAUAUUUGAAUUCUUGUAAAAUAGGGUCUGAAUGAAUUUAAGAUCCCCUGUUCUGAUUUUAUAAAUUCACCAUAAAUUGUAAACAAAUUAUUAAGAGUCAUACCUUACAUGCAUGGAUUCAUUAUUGAGUCUAUUUUUACGGGAAACAAACGGCAUGGUCAUUGGAAUUCUGUACAGGGAGAAAUUCGGUUCGUAGUGUACAGGGUCAGAGUAGUCAUACCCUGAAACAUGGAAUACUUUAACUAAUAAACUGUACUAAAUGGCUUGACCAAAAAUUUUGAAAAUUUUAUGGAAGAAAGAUAAAUGAGUCUAAUUUCAGGGAAAAUUUAUGGAACUUAAUUCGGAGUUUCGUAGCUCCAGAUAUAAAUAAUUUAGUGACUGUUGUGCAGGAAGACAGCUUGUCGUAAACUUGAGAAUAUGUUGUAAACAUGGAUAAAACAAGUUAAUGAGUUGCUUAUUGUUUUCAUAUGAACUUACUAAGCAAAAGCUUACCCCCUUCUUUUCCGUGCUCUCUAGGGUUUCCAGGUUUGUUCGGGUUGGAGUUAGUCAGAGAUAUUAUCACACUGUCAAGCUAACGCUAUUGGUGUAGUGAUUUAAAGUACUUUGAGUCUAUGGCAUGUAUAGGAGUUUAAAUAUUAGAGUAUGUGAUAUGGCUUUGACCAUAUGUGUUGGCCUAUUUUGAUUAUGGGAUUAUAAAUUCAUUUUAAUUAUUUGAGAUUUCAUGGCCCUGUUUAGUAUAGAAGUAUUAGUAAAAGUUAGGUAGCACCUCGAACUCCGUCCCGGCGUCAGAUGCGGGCGAGAGGUGUUACAUUUAGUGGUAUCAGGCUACAUUUAGUCGAUUCUAGGACUAACGUAGCACGUGUGAGUCUAGCUAUACAUGCCAUAAAGUGAUAAAAUGAUAGUGUGAUGAUUUCUGACAGUUAAAAUGUGUUUUUCGUAAUAUAAUGAAUUUCAAUCCCGAUCAAGCUGUAGCAGAUGGUAUUGAGAGGAUUGAAACAUGCUUAUGAUGUGUCAAAAUCGAGAAAGGUAUGAAUAGAAGUAUGAUAUACAUUUGAAGUAUUGAAAUGCAAAGUAAUUUUUGUAAUACCCCAUACCCGUACCUGAGACCGGGAUAGGAUACGAGGCAUUACCGAAAUUUUCAAAAUAAUUUCAAUUAAUUUAUAUUAUUUAGUAUUCAUUUUCAUGUUUCAUGUAACAUCCUUUUCAUAUAUUCAAUUCAAAAUAUCAUAUAAAAU
RNAcentral lists this long non-coding RNA (2605 nucleotides) under Gossypium barbadense (sea-island cotton). Its description in RNAcentral is "long non-coding RNA (GBAR_LNC003920)". The record is from RNAcentral. Lineage: Eukaryota; Viridiplantae; Streptophyta; Magnoliopsida; Malvales; Malvaceae.